RNAcentral lists this ribosomal RNA (191 nucleotides) under uncultured bacterium. Its description in RNAcentral is "partial 16S ribosomal RNA". It matches the Rfam family "Bacterial small subunit ribosomal RNA", at positions 338 to 521 of the family's 1533-position model. The record is from RNAcentral.
CCUACGGGAGGCAGCAGUGGGGAAUAUUGGACAAUGGGCGAAAGCCUGAUCCAGCAACGCCGCGUGGAGGAUGAAGGCUUUCGGGUUGUAAACUCCUGUCAGGUGGGACGAAAGGAUUCCGGUCAAUAACCGGCCUCUUUGACGGUACCAUCGGAGGAAGCCCCGGCUAAUUCCGUGCCAGCAGCCGCGGU